AACAAACACAAUACAGUGCAUAGUGAUGGCUAAAAACGAAUUAAAGCUUUUGGGUGCUUGGUUCAGUCCUUAUGCCCUAAGGGUGAAGAUUGCCCUUAAUCUCAAGGGUGUAGAUUAUGAGGUUAUUGAAGACACUUUGUUUCCCAAAAGUGAACUUCUUCUUAAGUCCAACCCUGUGCUCAAGAAAAUCCCAGUUCUUUUCCAUGCAGAUAAAGCCAUAUGUGAAUCUGCAAUCAUAGUUGAAUACAUUGAUGAGGUUUGGAGCAAUGCUCCCUCCAUACUUCCACAAAAUGCCUAUGAUCGAGCUCAGGCCAGAUUUUGGGUUGCUUACACAUGAAAAGUGGUUUUCGUCCUUGAGAAACAUUCUGAUAGCUGAAGAUGAUGAGGCAAAAAAGCGAGACUUUGAGCAAGCAGAGGAAGUAGUUGAGAGGUUGGAAGAAGUGUUGAAGGGGAAGACAUGAGACAAUUGGAUUCAUUGAUAUUGUUUUUGGUAGCUUUCUGAGUUGAGAGUUAUUCCCUCA
Vigna unguiculata (cowpea) is the source of this 521-nucleotide long non-coding RNA. The record is from RefSeq and is a predicted model, not a curated record. Lineage: Eukaryota; Viridiplantae; Streptophyta; Magnoliopsida; Fabales; Fabaceae.